RNAcentral lists this ribosomal RNA (423 nucleotides) under uncultured bacterium. RNAcentral describes it as "bacterial SSU rRNA". It matches the Rfam family "Bacterial small subunit ribosomal RNA", at positions 358 to 772 of the family's 1533-position model. The record is from RNAcentral.
GGAAUUUUGGUCAAUGGGGGAAACCCUGAACCAGCAACGCCGCGUGAGGGAUGAAGGCCCUCGGGUCGUAAACCUCUGUCGGAAGGGCAGAAAGUACUCCGGGUCAAUACCCCGGAGUGCAGACGGUCCCUUCAAAGGAAGCGCCUGCUACCUCCGUGCCAGCAGCCGCGGUAAUACGGAGGGCGCGAGCGUUAUUCGGAAUCAUUGGGCGUAAAGCGCGUGUAGGCGGCUGUGUAAGUCGGAUGUGAAAGCCCGGGGCUCAACCCCGGAAUGGCAUUCGAAACUGCACAGCUAGAGUCUCGGAGAGGAGGGCGGAAUUCCCGGUGUAGAGGUGAAAUUCGUAGAUAUCGGGAGGAACACCAGUGGCGAAGGCGGCCCUCUGGACGAUGACUGACGCUGAGACGCGAAAGCGUGGGGAGCGAA